AGAAUGCAUGUGCUAAUUGCCUAUUUGACAAAUAGAUAGUGGCGUGAAUGUCCUACUGACAAUAGCAUGCAGCACAGUGGAAACACAUGAUGUUCUUUGUCAAUUCAAUGCCAUUUAGUAAUUUGUUUCCUUUCUUCAAAUCGGAAUGCAGAACAAAUACAAAUCAAUACCAAAAGAGAAUUCCGCAAUUUGGUAUUAUAUCUUUCGAAGUCUUUCUCUUACCCAUUCACGCAAUCAAUUCAAAGCCAAGAUUGAGUGAAUAAAUGCCACAGAUAAUUACAGAAAUUAAGGGACAAAACAAGUUUCCUACAAUCUCGAAUUAUCAAGUACCCUACGAAGUUCAAGAUUUUCACCGCUGUCCCCACGUGAACAAGACACUAAAAGUUAGUUAGUGAA
RNAcentral lists this unclassified non-coding RNA (396 nucleotides) under Hevea brasiliensis (rubber tree). The record is from RNAcentral. Lineage: Eukaryota; Viridiplantae; Streptophyta; Magnoliopsida; Malpighiales; Euphorbiaceae.